RNAcentral lists this long non-coding RNA (410 nucleotides) under Setaria viridis. RNAcentral's name for it is "long non-coding RNA (SVIR_LNC001837)". The record is from RNAcentral. Lineage: Eukaryota; Viridiplantae; Streptophyta; Magnoliopsida; Poales; Poaceae.
GGGAAGGCCGUUCUUGUGACCGGCAGAUUGGUGAGGAUUUCCUGUUACUUCUCCAAAGUGAUGUAGUAGCUACGCAAUGUUUGUUAUGUCUUUGUGUGUUGGUUUAAUGAAGAUUGUGUUGGAGGUAUGUCCUAGAGGCAAUCAUAGAGAUGAUGAUAUUCCUUUGUAUCCAUGUUUUAUAUUAUGUUCCUUGAAUAUUCAUUAAAGGCUACUUGAAUUGAUUUGCAAUUAUGUGAAUUAUGUGUGAAACUCUUUACUUGUAUGGUUAUUCUAAAAGUUGUCCCUAAUUGGAGUUCAUAUGAGGACACACAUGAAUAUUAUACUAGCACAUGUAUUAGUUGAUGACUAUGUUUCACAAGUCAUGGACAUGGAGAUGUCAAACUAAUAAUGUGGGCACGCGUAGAGACAUG